This 74-nucleotide transfer RNA is filed under the name Clostridiales bacterium. RNAcentral's name for it is "tRNA-Gly". It matches the Rfam family "tRNA". From Rfam's summary of the family: Transfer RNA (tRNA) molecules are approximately 80 nucleotides in length. Lineage: Bacteria; Bacillati; Bacillota; Clostridia; Eubacteriales. The record is from RNAcentral.
GCGGGUGUAGUUCAAUGGUAGAAUUCUAGCCUUCCAAGCUAAUGAUGAGGGUUCGAUUCCCUCUACCCGCUCCA